GAUGAACGCUAGCGGCAGGCCUAACACAUGCAAGUCGAGGGGCAUCGCGGUGCAGCAAUGCACUGGCGGCGACCGGCGUACGGGUGCGUAACGCGUAUGCAACCUGCCCCGCACCGGGGGAUAGCCCGCCGAAAGGCGGAUUAAUACCCCAUGGUCCCGGGGGCCCGCAUGGGCAUCCGGGUAAAGCCUUGGCGGUGCGGGAUGGGCAUGCGUGCCAUUAGCUGGCUGGUGGGGUAACGGCCCACCAGGGCAACGAUGGCUAGGGGGUCUGAGAGGAUGGUCCCCCACACUGGUACUGAGACACGGACCAGACUCCUACGGGAGGCAGCAGUGAGGAAUAUUGGUCAAUGGGCGGAAGCCUGAACCAGCCAUGCCGCGUGCGGGAUGAAGGCCCUACGGGUUGUAAACCGCUUUUCCCCGGGAAGAAUAACCCCGAUGAGUCGGGGAUGCCGGUACCGGGGAAUAGGAUCGGCUAACUCCGUG
This 483-nucleotide ribosomal RNA is filed under the name uncultured bacterium. RNAcentral describes it as "bacterial SSU rRNA". It matches the Rfam family "Bacterial small subunit ribosomal RNA", at positions 28 to 507 of the family's 1533-position model. The record is from RNAcentral.